This 72-nucleotide transfer RNA is filed under the name Marmota monax (woodchuck). RNAcentral's name for it is "tRNA.Gly". The record is from RNAcentral. Lineage: Eukaryota; Metazoa; Chordata; Mammalia; Rodentia; Sciuridae.
UGGAGUUGUAGCUCAGUGGUAGAGCACUUGCCUACCAUGUACAAGGCUUUGGGAUCAAUCCCCAAUAUUGAA